This 102-nucleotide small RNA is filed under the name Xanthomonas campestris. Its description in RNAcentral is "sRNA sX2". It matches the Rfam family "Xanthomonas sRNA sX2". Lineage: Bacteria; Pseudomonadati; Pseudomonadota; Gammaproteobacteria; Lysobacterales; Lysobacteraceae. The record is from RNAcentral. RNAcentral also lists the same sequence under 2 other names.
ACCAGCUGUGCAGUUCUAGAGCAUCUAGGCAGCUUAAAGGGUGCAGGCAUCCGCAGUUGGACCACCUUCGACAGACACCGUGCAGCGUGCGGUGUCUGUUUU